UCGUCCCCGCAUCUUCUCUCUCUCUAUACAUUUUUCAGUUUUUGCUCUGUUCAAUUCGAAAAGCUAGGGUUUUUGUUAUGGGGCAACAAUCGUUGAUCUACAGUUUCGUUGCGAGAGGAACGGUGAUUUUGGCUGAGUAUACAGAGUUCACCGGCAAUUUCACAAGUAUAGCAUCGCAGUGCCUCCAGAAACUUCCUGCUUCAAAUAACAAGUUCACUUACAAUUGUGAUGGUCACACUUUCAACUACCUCGUUGAUAACGGCUUCAGUGAGUUUUUUCCUUCCCUAUCUCUCUCUGUGUGUGUUUUGAUCUGUCAGUCAAUUGGUUUGACUGGUCCAUAUCUAUAUAUAUAUAUAUACACACACACACACAUAUAUGUUUGUGUGUGUGUGUGUGAUUUUUCUGAUCCGUUAUCUAUGAUUCUCUGCUUCUUUGAUCCGAUGACUAUUUUAUAAUGAUCAGUUUCAUUUUCAUAUAAAACAAGUCGUUUUCACUUUCUUGUUGACUGUUUUUGGUUUAGGAUAAGUAGCCUC
RNAcentral lists this long non-coding RNA (533 nucleotides) under Nicotiana tabacum (common tobacco). RNAcentral's name for it is "long non-coding RNA (NTAB_LNC014119)". Lineage: Eukaryota; Viridiplantae; Streptophyta; Magnoliopsida; Solanales; Solanaceae. The record is from RNAcentral.